GGACACAAUUCAAUCCAUAACUCCUUCCUUUGGUGAAAAAAAAGUCUCAGAACUUAAAAAUAUUUUCUAUAAACAAAUUCAUUUUUUUCUUUAAAGAGGAAGUGAGACUUGAAGAAGUGACAUUAUGGGAAUAAAGGAAGUUAGAAGCUGAAGUCUCAGGAAUUGAUCGACAUCUGACUACAGGGCAACUUGUUCUGCUCAGUGUGACUUGAAUUUCAGAAAUUUGGGAACUCCGUUUUUUUUGUGGUAAAAUAUGUAUAAAAAAAUAGAACCUAAAAUUUGCCAUCUUCGCCAUUUUAAGGGUAAACUCAGUGGCAUUAAUUACACCCACAAGGUGGUGCAACCAUCACCGCCACCUCCUUCCAAAACUUUUCGUCACCCCAAACAGAAACUGCGUCCCCAUUAAGCUGGAAGAACACAUUAUUUUUCAGUUGCAGUCAAAUCAAUUCCAGCUCAUGGUGACUUCCUAAGUGCAGAGCAGAACUGCUGCAUAGGGUUUUUUUUUCCAAGACCGUGACCUUUCAGAAGCAGAUUGCCCGGCCUGCCUUCUGAGGCACCUCUGGGUGAUUUGGAACCACCAGCCUCCCAACUAGUAGUCGAAUGUUUAACUGUUUGUGCCCCGCAGCCUUAGAAUGUACUGUUUUUUAAAUUGAUGUUCCUCCCCUCUUCAGUGACUUCCUUUCUUUUUUCUUUAUUUGUAAAGCGAAAAGAGACGUUUUAUGUGAUAUAUAUUCCAAGAGGCAAAAGUAGGAAAGGAACAAGCAUACUGCCAAAGCUGUGACUGUCUGAGUCCCAGGAAUAUUACAGAAUAGGCAAAAGUGGGAAAACGGACUAGCAUGCUGUUGAAGUCGAAGGAUGUUACAGAAUCAUCAGUAUACAUUAACAUUAUAAAAUGGGUAAAAUUCUUGAAAGCUUCGCCUUUUCAGAGAUUCGCUAAAAACUGCUAAAUCACCAUGAUUCUGCAUUUUGAAUUUUCUUUCUUAUUAGUCAUUGGUAUGUUGUUGUUGUUGUUAGGUGCUGUUGAGUCAGUUCCAACUAAUAGCGACCCUAUGCACAACAGAACGAAACACUGCCCAGUCCUGAGCCAUCCUUACAAUCAUUGUUAUGCUUGAGCCCAUUGUUGCAACCACUGUGUCAGUCCACCUCGUUGAGGGUCUUCCUCUUUUCCCGUGACCCUGUACUCUGCCGAGCAUGAUGUCCUUCUCCAGGGACUGAUCCCUCCUGACAACAUGUCCAAGGAAAGGAAUUGCUGGAUCAUAUGGUAGUUCUGCCUGGUCAUGCAGAGGGUCAUAGACAAAGAGGGAACCCCUCCAUGAAAUGAAUCAACACGGUGGCUGCGACAAUGCAAACUAUUGUGAGGAUGGGCUCCAUUUCACACAGAGCCAACUUGUCAACAACUAACAACAACAAAGCCUGUGAGCAGAGCAUUGCUCUCCUGCCUGCUGAUCUCGGAUUCGCCAGCCCUUGCAGCUACGUGAAUCAGGACAAGCCUUGCAGUCUUACUUGUUGAUCUUGGGAUUCAUGGAUAUUCACAACCUGUGAGCAAGAGCCCUGCCUUCUGACCUGCUGAUCUUGGGUUCACCAGCCCUUUCAGCUACGUGAAUUGGGAGGAGCCUCUAUCCUAAUCCAUGGACUUGAGAACCCAGCCUAAGACAGGAGACUUCAUCGCAACCUACCCAAUACCCAAGCCAGGAACCUGGGCUUCAUUCCUGACUUCUCUACAUACGGUCAGUCACAAGUCAUAUCACCCCAAAUGUCCCUCUUCUCUACCCCUAUGGCCACCAUCCUGACCACAGUUCUCAUCGCCUCUUGCCUGAAUUAUUACCUGAACCUCCUCUCUGGUCUUUUCUACCAUAUUUCCCUCUCUAAACCACUCAUAUACCAUGGACUACCUAAAGAAUGAACAAAUCUGUCUUGGAAGAAGUACAACCAGAAUGCUCCUUAGAAACAAGGAUGGCAAGACUAUGCCUCACAUACUUUGGACAUGUUAUCAGGAGGGAUCAGUCCCUGGAAAAGGACAUCAUGCUUGGUAAAAUAGAUGGCCAGCAAAAAAGAGGAAGACCCUCAAUAAGACAGAUUGACACAGUGACUGCAACAAUGGGCUCAAGCAUAGCAACAACAGUGAGGAUGGUGCAGGACUGGGCAGUGUUUCAUUCUGUUGUACAUAGGGUUGCCAUGAGUUGGAACUGAUUAGAUGGCACCUAAAAAUAACAACAACAAACCAUCCUCAACCUGCCUCCAGAGUUGACUUUCUAAAAUACAACACAGCGCUCUGCUGUCUAAGCCUUGCUUGUCUGUCUCCACAUGGGUUCCCAAGUGUGGAAACAGCUGAUACCUGCUCCAGCUUGCAGACACACAGAACCCUUGACAUGAUUUGCUAAUGUUUGGUGAGAAUAUUGCAGAUAGACCUGCUAGGGUACACUGUAUCCCACCAUAAAUGCAGACAGAGUGCAUGAAACAGAAAGUUCCAAACUGCAGAAUUUUAAAUAAAUCUAUU
Molecule: long non-coding RNA, 2497 nt
Organism: Loxodonta africana (African savanna elephant)
Lineage: Eukaryota; Metazoa; Chordata; Mammalia; Proboscidea; Elephantidae
Exons: 4
Source: RefSeq, a predicted model, not a curated record